This is a non-coding RNA of Rhamnusium bicolor, 73 nucleotides long. NCBI's taxonomy places the organism in Eukaryota, Metazoa, Arthropoda, Insecta, Coleoptera, Cerambycidae. The record is from the annotation of a GenBank genome assembly.
UUCAGUCGUUGGCCGAGCGGGCUAAGGCACGUCGACGCGAACUCGAGCGUGAGUUCAAAUCCCAUGGCUGAAA